Molecule: long non-coding RNA, 397 nt
Organism: Rhipicephalus microplus (southern cattle tick)
Lineage: Eukaryota; Metazoa; Arthropoda; Arachnida; Ixodida; Ixodidae
Source: RefSeq, a predicted model, not a curated record
CGAUCUCCUCGCAACGCUCAACGUUACCAUGAUGGCUUGUCUGCUGUUGCUUCAGCGUCGCCGCUCUUGAAAUGCGCCGCGAAGAUAUUGGGUGCAUCCGCUUUGGAGGUACAGAGAUACUGAAGGACAGGCCCACACACUGCUUCCCCGUCUGCGAGCAAGGGAUGAAGUCUAUUUCCGAGAUUUCCUCCGAAUGCCACCAAGGACUUUUGACACAUUGCUCAGUCUCGUUGGACCACUUAUCGAGAGAAGAGUGACGCCGUUUCGGCUGCCAAUUUCUGCACAUGAAAGGCUGGCGAUGACCCUGAGAUUUCUUGCUAAUGGAGACACCUUCCGAAGUCUGUCAUUCAACUUUCUGACAGGACGAUCCACGGCAGGUGAAAUAGUAAGGGAAACA